UACGAAGGGGGCUAGCGUUGUUCGGAAUUACUGGGCGUAAAGGGCGCGUAGGCGGUCAGCACAAGUCAGUUGUGAAAUCUCCGGGCUUAACUCGGAAAGGUCAACUGAUACUGUGCGACUAGAGUGCGGAAGGGGCAACUGGAAUUCUUGGUGUAGCGGUGAAAUGCGUAGAUAUCAAGAGGAACACCUGCGGCGAAGGCGGGUUGCUGGGCCGACACUGACGCUGAGGCGCGAAAGCCAGGGGAGCGAACGGG
Molecule: ribosomal RNA, 254 nt
Filed under: uncultured bacterium
Lineage: Bacteria
Description: partial 16S ribosomal RNA
Rfam family: Bacterial small subunit ribosomal RNA
Source: RNAcentral